Long non-coding RNA from Cygnus olor (mute swan), 1641 nucleotides. RefSeq lists it as uncharacterized. The transcript has 2 exons. NCBI's taxonomy places the organism in Eukaryota, Metazoa, Chordata, Aves, Anseriformes, Anatidae. The record is from RefSeq and is a predicted model, not a curated record.
GGUGAUAGUCAGCUGCUUUGGGGUAUUGUAUUUUUAUGUUGUUUAUUUGGAUUUCUAAUUAGUAGGCUGACUUUUGCACCUUUGUAAAUGAAGUAUUCCACAGUAAUCCUAGAUGGCAUGACCUGCCACGUAUGAGAAUUUGACUCAGUAAUAAGUGAGAGUGAAAGCUGUCUGGCUGCGCUGGCUGCACACUGAGAACUAGUAGUAACAUUCUUCUGUGGGGCUUUGAAGAAGAGUGUUUUAAUUAGGCAGCGUGCAUGUUCCUCAAAGUACAAAAUACGAUGCAUUUGCUCAAAGAAGGUAAGAAAUUCAAAUCAGUAAACUGUGAUUUUUCUAUGGCACUUAAAAGGGAGUAGAUGUGAAAUCUGUAUUACAGAUGAGUUUGUUCUCUCCCUGCAGUAGAUACAUCUGAAUCUUUGAUGUAUUUAAUACUUGAAGACAGAUUGUCCAGAGUACAUAAACUCUUUCUUCUGACCCCUUGUCUUGCCUAGUGAGUGUUAGGCUUUGAUGACAAAUACCGUGUGUCACGCCAUCACGCCCAGCUCAGUCCUUUUAAAGGCACAGCAAGGGCUGUAGCCGUGGUGAUCUGCUGAGAUAAACAGGGUGGGGCCAGAAAGCAGAAAUGACAUUGAAUUGACUUGCGUAGCAAGGAAGUGGGAGGGAAAAAAAUGCAGAGCUCAGUUUUACUUUAUCAAACUUUCAAGGUUGUGUCUGCAAUCAUGAAGUUAGAGUUUGGGCUUUUAUUUAUUUACUAAUGUCGGCUGAGGUUCUGGAGAACUGCGUAGCGACCAGGGAUGGAUCCUUAGGGCAUUCUGUGCAAUCACAGAGUAUCAGGGCUGCCGUGCUAGUGCAUGCAGAAAUCAUGCAGUCACAUCUAGAGUGCAGGCUACACCUGUAACUUUUCUCACAGCUGCCUACCGAAAUAUUUCAGUCUACUCCGUGGAUGUGUGCUCUAGAUUCUUUCAAAGGAUAUAUUAUUCCGUUUCAAACAGCUGUUUUCUGUCUGUGUAUUUUUAGCACCUUUUGCCUUUUCAAAGCGCAUCCCCUUCCUGCUGGGAUGUAGGUAAACAGGCUUUCUGUUGCACAGACCAACCCCAGGGUAAUUUGUCAUGCUCAUUGACUGCCUUUUGGUUCCCUGAUUUCCUUCUUGGUUUUCUCUCUAAUGAACUCUGUUUGCUUAAGUUAUACAGCUCUCUUUCCAAAGCAGAACUCUUUUUUUGUAAAAAUCACAUCCUAACUAAUUCUACAUCAGUCAUUGUUGGUGUCUACUUAUGAUUUCCAGCUGUUCUGCCCAGUAAAAAAAAUUCUUUUUGGAACAUACUUCUACCUACGUUCUGUUGCUGAUAUUUCUCCAACUCGAGUUCAAUAACAGAUUUCUUUCUCAAAGGAAGCAACUAUUGUGCAUGUAAAGGCAUGAUAGGUCUUACUUCAAUGUUAAGCAGUUCCUGCAUCCUCAUGUCUGUGUCUAUUUUGCACAUUCCUUUUUUAAUCUCUAAACUUUCCUGGAAUUAUUUGGCAGCUGGUGGUUCUGCCCACCUAUUGAAAUUGAAUUAACAGAGCUUUCUUUGCAGUAAUAAAAUCAUCAGCCGCUCAUUUUUAUAUCUUCGAUAGUUUCCUCUAAAAUCUGCUAACAUUUUAUCA